CCUACGGGAGGCAGCAGUGGGGAAUAUUGCACAAUGGGGGAAACCCUGAUGCAGCAACGCCGCGUGAGUGAAGAAGUAUUUCGGUAUGUAAAGCCCUAUCAGCAGGGAAGAGAGUGACGGUACCUGACCAAGAAGCCCCGGCUAACUACGUGCCAGCAGCCGCGGUAAUACGUAGGGGGCGAGCGUUAUCCGGAUUUACUGGGUGUAAAGGGAGCGUAGACGGUUCUGCAAGUCUGAAGUGAAAGCCCGUGGCCCAACCGCGGGACGGCUUUGGAAACUGCGGAACUGGAGUGCUGGAGGGGCAAGCGGAAUUCCUAGUGUAGCGGUGAAAUGCGUAGAUAUUAGGAGGAACACCAGUGGCGAAGGCGGCUUACUGGACAGUAACUGACGUUGAGGCUCGAAGGCGUGGGGAGCAAACAGGAUUAGAUACCCCGGUAGUC
Molecule: ribosomal RNA, 440 nt
Filed under: uncultured bacterium
Lineage: Bacteria
Description: partial 16S ribosomal RNA
Rfam family: Bacterial small subunit ribosomal RNA
Source: RNAcentral